This 592-nucleotide unclassified non-coding RNA is filed under the name Hevea brasiliensis (rubber tree). The record is from RNAcentral. Lineage: Eukaryota; Viridiplantae; Streptophyta; Magnoliopsida; Malpighiales; Euphorbiaceae.
UACCAGUAUCAACAACAUACUUUAUGCCUGGGAUAGUUAAAGAGGUUUCAGCAACAUUAGUGGCAACAACAACAAGUCGCUCCUCUUCCUUGACUCCUUCAAAAACCCGGAGCUGUNNNGCAGGAAGCAUGGCAUAAAGAGGCAGAACACACAAAGCACCAACAGAGACACUUUUAUCUCCUCCAUUCUUCUUCGCUACAAUGUGGUUGGAUUGCUCCAAGAGGUCCUCCGGCAUAGAUGGAUUAUGUUUUCCCUCAGAAUUAGGGUCUGAUGCAUUCUUUCCGGCCAACACUUCAAAAGCAGCCUUCAGAGCUGUAAGACUCCCCUCGCCUAAAACACCUAAAAGGUUACCAUCAUUUUCUGAGAUGCUCUGGUCCCCUGAAUCCCCAUCAUCACCAACAAUUUCUAUUUCGCUCUCUGUUUCGGAAUUAUAAGAGACAUCUGAUUCAUCCUCAUUAGGAUAUGGCAACUCUUUCUCAUAGGAACUAAAUCUAUCAGUUUGCUCGUUAGUUGAGUUACCCUGAAUCUCAAAGGCCUCAUUGAUGUCCUUCAUGUUAAUUUCCUCAAUAGAACUCAUUUCAGGUGUAGCAGA